AAAGUCGUAACAAGGUUUCCGUAGGUGAACCUGCGGAAGGAUCAUUAUUGAUUGUGAAUCGUUGCCUUCAGUGCUGGCCCCGGCAAGUGCACGUUGGUGACUUUCAUCCAAUACACCCCUGUGAACUUCUGGCCUCUUGCUAGCUUCGGCUGGCAGAGGAUUUUUACACACACUCGAAUGUAAUGAAACCUAUUGUUGUGCGCAAGCACUAAUGUACAACUUUCAACAACGGAUCUCUUGGCUCUCGCAUCGAUGAAGAACGCAGCGAAAUGCGAUAAGUAAUGUGAAUUGCAGAAUUCAGUGAAUCAUCGAAUCUUUGAACGCACCUUGCACCCUUUGGCAUUCCGAAGGGUAUGCUCGUUUGAGUGUCAUUGUACUCUCACGCUCUCCAAUCCUCUGGAUCGGGAGUGGUGGACUUGGGCGUCUGCUGCUUGACUGUGGCUCGCCUUAAAUGAAUUAGUGCAACUCUUGGUUGGACAUAGUACGGCGUGAUAAGUGUCUUCGCCGGCACCUCGAAAGAGGGUGACUGAUUGAGAGCUCUGUGCUUCAAACUGUCUUCGGACAAUCUCUGACAACUUGACCUCAAAUCGAGUAGGACUACCCGCUGAACUUAAGCAUAUCAAUAAGCGGAGGAAAAGAAACUAACAAGGAUUCCCC
Molecule: ribosomal RNA, 657 nt
Filed under: uncultured Sebacinaceae
Lineage: Eukaryota; Fungi; Basidiomycota; Agaricomycetes; Sebacinales; Sebacinaceae
Description: eukaryotic LSU rRNA
Rfam family: 5.8S ribosomal RNA (bases 218-371)
Source: RNAcentral